GCGGGUGUAGUGAAACGAUUAUCACGUUAGCCUUCCAAGCUGAAAUUGUGGGUUUGAUUCCCGCCACCCGCACCA
Molecule: transfer RNA, 75 nt
Filed under: Candidatus Saccharimonadota bacterium
Lineage: Bacteria; Candidatus Saccharimonadota
Description: tRNA-Gly
Rfam family: tRNA
About the family: Transfer RNA (tRNA) molecules are approximately 80 nucleotides in length. Their secondary structure includes four short double-helical elements and three loops (D, anti-codon, and T loops).
Source: RNAcentral